AGCCUCUGGAGCAACAGAACUCACUUAUUACCAGAGUCAAUGCUUGCCCAGCGAGAAGCCAUCUUUCUCCACCUCACUGAUUUUCCUUUAGCUCCAUUCCUUCCAGGAUUCACAGAGAAAAGGGUGAAGCUUCUUCUUCAUACAGAAAAGAAGGUCUCAGGACAAACAAACAGGCCAAAGCAUGGAUUUGGAGGAGUGUGAAAACUUGUCUAUAAUGCCAGGAUGUCAAUGCCAUAUCAGAUUUAGUGUACCUGGUGGUCCUGGAGCACCUCUGUCUCCCUUUUCUCCUUUUAAGUCUGCUGAGCUGCGCAGCCCCCAGGAAUCUCUGUUUGCUUUAGCACCUGCCACAAAAGCAUCACAAAUUCGUGAGAACUUGCAAACAGCAGAGACUAUAGCAGUGACAAUCAAACCACCCAAGUUGUGCAGAAUGGCUACAAAUACAGAAGAAUGAGAUGGACUUCUUCCCUUUCAGAGCCCCAGGUUACAACAGAAGUUUCCAGAUAGUUCCUCUCUGCCCUUCUCUUUCAUCUUUUCAGUCAUGAGAAGUGAAAGCUGGUCAUCCUCCCAUGGAUAUCCCCGUGAUCUGUCUGGUGACCCAGCCUCCAGCUGUGAGCCCAUGGUCAAAGGCCUAUUGACAGAGCAGUGGGGCCUCAUUUUAUGUUGCUGAUUAAACUGUAAACUCUCCAGACUCCUUUGCAGAGUGAUGGGAACAGUGUUUUAAUUCCCAGGAACAUGGGAACUGGGAAACAGGUUCAGGCUGUAUGUUAGAGGCUGCACUACUGCUUUUUUCCACAAAAUUACACUGAAAGUAUAAUAAAUAGGCAGGAAUAAAUUUUUGUUAUAAGUAGUUAAAGAAAAGGAGGAAGACCACCGACUUUAUUUCCUCUGUGAUCUUGAGAAGACCUCCUUCUCCAUUGUGUACUACUGGAUCAUAAGAAAAGCACUGAACCAGAGAUGCAGGCUUGCCUUAAUUUUAAUGCCUCGUGCGCACCGUAAGUGACCACUUUGUGCUUAUCUGGUGGAGUACUAGCUCAAGAAUGGAACAGUCAGACCAUUACAAUAUUCUUAAAAUGGCAUGAAAACUGUACAUAAAUGGUGACUUUCCCUCCUUAAACCAAAGAAAGAAGGGAUGCAUGCUGGAGUGACUUCAGUGUUUACUCUUUGGGUUGAGAAUUAGUAUGCAUUUAGAGAAAAGAAACUAUAAUGUUUAAUUGAAAAAAACCGACAAGUUUUAAACAAAAUUGUCAUAGUCAAAAUCCUCACUUUCAAGCUUUUACCUAGGCUGAAAGUCUAAAAAGAGCAGAAUGUCCUUUAUCAGCUUGGAGUCAACUCUUAGAACUCUUAGAAAAUGCCUUGAACCAAGAACUUCGGGUUCUCUGUGGACAUUUAUUCUGUUACAUCAUGGUUUCUUUGUUAAAAACAAAAAUACAGACAGAGAAAUUUUUUGGAGUUCCUGUGUACAGGGGGACACAAGCAAUUAGGAGUCUUUGAAUUUAGGAGCAGCACUGGACAACCUAGGCUUUAUGGACUUAAUUCUGUGGACAUAGCCCUGAAGAAAUGUGGACAGUUUGCCAAGCACGAGACUUUGGCUUUCACUUGUAAGAGAUGAGUUAGUUAUUCAGCGGUAAGGAUUCAGAGAGGAAGCUCAGGGCAUCAUUGUACCCCACAAAUUUGACCCUCUAUUGUCGUGAAACCCCCUUCCAUUCAGAGGAGUGAAAACUAACAAAACUUCUCCAGCCUUGUGAGAAUUUCCCCAGGGUCCUCAUGUGUGGAGUUUCUCAUCCUCCUUCCCCAUUAGUCUUACUUCCUUCUUUGUCUGCCUGUCACGUUUUUGUCCUAGCUACUCCCGAACCCCAGAAAUUAUUUUUCUUUUCAGCAGGCCUCACCUUCCUAGUGAAGGAGGGGAUGAGAAACAUUUCUUCUGUCUCACCAGAAAAAUCACCACCCCCUCACAGAAAGAAUCUUUAAUAGCUUGUUUCUUUCCCUCAGCAAUAUUCUCUGGGACUCCAGCAGCCAGCAUGUGUUGACCCUGCCUGUGAUAAUUUUCUUUCAAGCCAAAAGAUGGGAGCUCUGAUUACAAGCUCGUGGUUUUUGUGUAUCAGUCACUCAGAGAAGGGAAGUGGUUUCGACACCAUCAAACACUGGAGGAAUGAGACCACCUGGCUGCUUGGUGGGAUGGAGUAUCAGGUGGACUUUAGAAUUUGCAUCUUAGGAACACUGCCAGAGCAGAGAGUAAUGAUUUGUCGCAGCCAUGUGUGACACCUCUGCUCUGACAGAGGACUUCUAAGAUUAGAUCUUGCAGAAACUGUAUUGCAUUGCUCAAUUUAUGAAUCUUAGUCUUCAAAGUGCAGACCUAAGCUUUUUUUCU
Aquila chrysaetos chrysaetos is the source of this 2368-nucleotide long non-coding RNA. RefSeq lists it as uncharacterized. Lineage: Eukaryota; Metazoa; Chordata; Aves; Accipitriformes; Accipitridae. The record is from RefSeq and is a predicted model, not a curated record. The transcript has 3 exons.